GGAAUUGCUUUGGAAACUGGUUGGCUUGAGUGCGGAAGAGGUAAGUGGAAUUCCCAGUGUAGCGGUGAAAUGCGUAGAGAUUGGGAGGAACACCAGUGGCGAAGGCGACUUACUGGGCCGUAACUGACGCUGAGGCGCGAAAGCGUGGGGAGCGAACAGGAUUAGAUACCCUGGUAGUCCACGCGGUAAACGAUGAAUGCUAGGUGUAGGGGGUAUCGACCCCUCCUGUGCCGGAGUAAACACAAUAAGCAUUCCGCCUGGGGAGUACGGCCGCAAGGUUGAAACUCAAAGGAAUUGACGGGGGCCCGCACAAGCAGCGGAGCAUGUUGUUUAAUUCGAUGCAACGCGAAGAACCUUACCAGGUCUUGACAUCGACGUAAGCCUGUAGAGAUACGGGGUGCCUUCGGGCAACGGAAGACAGGUGGUGCAUGGUUGUCGUCAGCUCGUGUCGUGAGAUGUUGGGUUAAGUCCCGCAACGAGCGCAACCCUUAUGAUCAGUUACUAACGGGUAAAGCCGAGGACUCUGAUGAGACUGCCGGGGACAACUCGGAGGAAGGUGGGGACGACGUCAAAUCAUCAUGCCCCUUAUGACCUGGGCUACAAACGUGCUACAAUGGCGGCUACAAAGAGGAGCGAGCUCGCAAGGGUAAGCGGAUCUCAAAAAAGUCGUCUCAGUUCGGAUUGUGGGCUGCAACCCGC
This 699-nucleotide ribosomal RNA is filed under the name uncultured bacterium. RNAcentral describes it as "bacterial SSU rRNA". It matches the Rfam family "Bacterial small subunit ribosomal RNA", at positions 617 to 1315 of the family's 1533-position model. The record is from RNAcentral.